Molecule: ribosomal RNA, 270 nt
Filed under: Salmonella enterica subsp. enterica serovar Infantis
Lineage: Bacteria; Pseudomonadati; Pseudomonadota; Gammaproteobacteria; Enterobacterales; Enterobacteriaceae
Also listed under: 3 other names
Description: partial 16S ribosomal RNA
Rfam family: Bacterial small subunit ribosomal RNA
Source: RNAcentral
CGCCUGGGGAGUACGGCCGCAAGGUUAAAACUCAAAUGAAUUGACGGGGGCCCGCACAAGCGGUGGAGCAUGUGGUUUAAUUCGAUGCAACGCGAAGAACCUUACCUGGUCUUGACAUCCACGGAAGAAUUCAGAGAUGGAUUUGUGCCUUCGGGAACCGUGAGACAGGUGCUGCAUGGCUGUCGUCAGCUCGUGUUGUGAAAUGUUGGGUUAAGUCCCGCAACGAGCGCAACCCUUAUCCUUUGUUGCCAGCGAUUAGGUCGGGAACUC